CUUUUUGGGGAGUCAGAGCCGGCAACGGGGUGAGGAGUAGCCUAUCUCGAUAUUUUGCUUUUAUUUAAUGAUCCACGAGACAUCACAGAGUCAAGUAUGUGGCUAUCUUCAUUCAUUCACUCUAUUGGUAACAUUUCUAUGGCGUCUGAGGUCCCAAUGGUGUUGUUGUUUGAGUGAAAUCAUGAAAAACAGCAUUCAUUCACUCUACUAGUAACAUUUCUGUGGCGUCUGAGGUCCCAAUGGUGUUGUUGUUUGAGUGAAAUCAUGAAAAACAGCAUUCAUUCACUCUACUAGUAACAUUUCUGUGGCGUCUGAGAUCCCAAUGGUGUUGUUGUUUGAGUGAAAUCGUGAAAAACAGCAUUCAUUCACUCUACUAGUAACAUUUCUGUGGCGUCUGAGGUCUCAAUGGUGUUGUUGUUUGAGUGAAAUCAUGAAAAACAGCAUUCAUUCACUCUACUAGUAACAUUUCUGUGGCGUCUGAGGUCCCAAUGGUGUUGCUGUUUGUGUGAAAUCGUGAAAAACGACCACAAAUUCGCAUCACAGCAAAAAUGACACCAGUAAUUUAAGUUUUGCCACCAUGAAAUAUACACAGAUCGAUAUUUAUGAAAGCUCACAAGUCGGGCCAAAUUACAUCAUCUGCUUUGCGCAAUAAAACUAUGCUAUUUGUGGUAUCUGACACCCGCGAAAUGGCGUAUAGGCUGGGUCGGGCCUACGCGCUGCACCCUCAACGAUGCCAGAUUGUUGUACUCAGCGAUGUCCCACCCCUAAACUGUCUUCUGAGCUCCGAUAUCAAAACUCAUUUACAGUUAUCGUUAAAAGACUUCGAUCCUGAUGUUUCUUGGCAAUAGUUACGCGUCGGAAACCAGUAAUACUCCGCUCUGAAUACGCUGACCUGGUGACGGGGUUAGAGGCGUUUUCGUAUUGUUUUCUUGUUUAUUCAAUGUUCUGCUCAAGAAAACGGAUACCCAUGAUUUUUGAGUAAGUUUUUGGUCGUAAGGAUACUUUACGAAAUACAAUUAUAACUAUAUCCCACUAGUUAGGAAAUGUACGUAAUCCUGGAUCGGCUACAGUGAUGUUAGAUGUGCCUAUUUACAUAUCAGGAAAGGUCUGUGAAUGUCUCUCGUAACAGCAAGAUAUCCGCACUUCCCUUCCCUUCGCUAAAUUAUACAUAACAGAAAGAACAUUACCAAUAACAUAUCAGGGAACGUCACUGAACAAUCUCUGGUAACAGCAAGAUAUCCGCACUUCCCUUCCCUUCGCUAAAUUAUACAUAACAGAAAGAACAUUACCA
Long non-coding RNA from Eriocheir sinensis (Chinese mitten crab), 1291 nucleotides. RefSeq lists it as uncharacterized. NCBI's taxonomy places the organism in Eukaryota, Metazoa, Arthropoda, Malacostraca, Decapoda, Varunidae. The transcript is spliced from 3 exons. The record is from RefSeq and is a predicted model, not a curated record.